AGGGUCCAGGGUUCAAGUCCCUGUUCGG
Molecule: non-coding RNA, 28 nt
Filed under: Drosophila melanogaster (fruit fly)
Lineage: Eukaryota; Metazoa; Arthropoda; Insecta; Diptera; Drosophilidae
Also listed under: 6 other names
Source: RNAcentral